This 253-nucleotide unclassified non-coding RNA is filed under the name uncultured Flavobacteriaceae bacterium. RNAcentral describes it as "contains 16S-23S intergenic spacer region". It matches the Rfam family "Bacterial small subunit ribosomal RNA", at positions 524 to 776 of the family's 1533-position model. Lineage: Bacteria; Pseudomonadati; Bacteroidota; Flavobacteriia; Flavobacteriales; Flavobacteriaceae. The record is from RNAcentral.
UACGGAGGUUCCAAGCGUCAUCCGGACUCAUUGGGCUUAAAGGGUCCGUAGGCGGGAUAAUAAGUCAGUGGUGAAGGUCUGCAGCUCAACUGUAGAAUUGCCAUUGAUACUGUUGACCUUGAGUAAUUAUGAAGUGGUUAGAAUAUGUAGUGUAGCGGUGAAAUGCAUAGAUAUUACAUAGAAUACCGAUUGCGAAGGCAGAUCACUAAUAAUUUACUGACGCUGAGGGACGAAAGCGUAGGUAGCGAACAGG